Molecule: ribosomal RNA, 919 nt
Filed under: Aspergillus tamarii
Lineage: Eukaryota; Fungi; Ascomycota; Eurotiomycetes; Eurotiales; Aspergillaceae
Description: LSU rRNA
Rfam family: Eukaryotic large subunit ribosomal RNA
Source: RNAcentral
GCAUAUCAAUAAGCGGAAGGGAAAAGAAACCAACCCGGGAUUGCCUCAGUAACGGCGAGUGAAGCGGCAAGAGCUCAAAUUUGAAAGCUGGCUCCUUCGGGGUCCGCAUUGUAAUUUGCAGAGGAUGCUUCGGGUGCGGCCCCUGUCUAAGUGCCCUGGAACGGGCCGUCAGAGAGGGUGAGAAUCCCGUCUGGGAUGGGGUGUCCGCGCCCGUGUGAAGCUCCUUCGACGAGUCGAGUUGUUUGGGAAUGCAGCUCUAAAUGGGUGGUAAAUUUCAUCUAAAGCUAAAUACUGGCCGGAGACCGAUAGCGCACAAGUAGAGUGAUCGAAAGAUGAAAAGCACUUUGAAAAGAGAGUUAAAAAGCACGUGAAAUUGUUGAAAGGGAAGCGCUUGCGACCAGACUCGCCUCCAGGGUUCAGCCGGCAUUCGUGCCGGUGUACUUCCCUGGGGGCGGGCCAGCGUCGGUUUGGGCGGCCGGUCAAAGGCUCCCGGAAUGUAGUGCCCUUCGGGGCACCUUAUAGCCGGGAGUGCAAUGCGGCCAGCCUGGACCGAGGAACGCGCUUCGGCACGGACGCUGGCAUAAUGGUCGCAAACGACCCGUCUUGAAACACGGACCAAGGAGUCUAACAUCUACGCGAGUGUUCGGGUGUCAAACCCGUACGCGCAGUGAAAGCGAACGGAGGUGGGAGCCCCCUCGCGGGGCGCACCAUCGACCGAUCCUGAUGUCUUCGGAUGGAUUUGAGUAAGAGCGUAAAUGUGGGGACCCGAAAGAUGGUGAACUAUGCCUGAAUAGGGGCGAAGCCAGAGGAAACUCUGGUGGAGGCUCGCAGCGGUUCUGACGUGCAAAUCGAUCGUCAAAUUUGGGUAUAGGGGCGAAAGACUAAUCGAACCAUCUAGUUAGCUUGAUUCCUGCCGAAG